CUACGUGCCAGCAGCCGCGGUAAUACGUAGGUCCCGAGCGUUGUCCGGAUUUAUUGGGCGUAAAGCGAGCGCAGGCGGUUUGAUAAGUCUGAAGUUAAAGGCUGUGGCUCAMCCAUAGUUCGCUUUGGAAACUGUCAAACUUGAGUGCAGAAGGGGAGAGUGGAAUUCCAUGUGUAGCGGUGAAAUGCGUAGAUAUAUGGAGGAACACCGGUGGCGAAAGCGGCUCUCUGGUCUGUAACUGACGCUGAGGCUCGAAAGCGUGGGGAGCGAACAGGAUUAGAUACCCUGGUAGUCCACGCCGUAAACGAUGAGUGCUAGGUGUUAGAUCCUUUCCGGGAUUCAGUGCCGCAGCUAACGCAUUAAGCACUCCGCCUGGGGAGUACGACCGCAAGGUUGAAACUCAAAGGAAUUGACGGGGGCCCGCACAAGCGGUGGAGCAUGUGGUUUAAUUCGAAGCAACGCGAAGAACCUUACCAGGUCUUGACAUCCCUCUGACCGCUCUAGAGAUAGAGCUUUC
This 517-nucleotide ribosomal RNA is filed under the name uncultured bacterium. RNAcentral describes it as "bacterial SSU rRNA". It matches the Rfam family "Bacterial small subunit ribosomal RNA", at positions 501 to 1016 of the family's 1533-position model. The record is from RNAcentral.